RNAcentral lists this ribosomal RNA (468 nucleotides) under uncultured bacterium. Its description in RNAcentral is "partial 16S ribosomal RNA". It matches the Rfam family "Bacterial small subunit ribosomal RNA", at positions 28 to 507 of the family's 1533-position model. The record is from RNAcentral.
GACGAACGCUGGCGGCGUGCUUAACACAUGCAAGUCGAACGGAAAGGCCCUGCUUUUGUGGGGUGCUCGAGUGGCGAACGGAUGAGUAACACGUGAGUAACCUGCCCUUGACUUUGGGAUAACUUCAGGACACUGGGGCUAAUACCGUAUAGGAGCUCCUGCUGCUUGGUGGGGGUUGGAAAGUUUCGGCGGUUGGGGAUGGACUCGCGGCUUAUCAGCUUGUUGGUGGGGUAGUGGCUUACCAAGGCUUUGACGGGUAGCCGGCCUGAGAGGGUGACCGGCCACAUUGGGACUGCGAUGCGGCCCAGACUCCUGCGGGAGGCAGCAGUGGGGAAUAUUGCACAAUGGGCGGAAGCCUGAUGCAGCAACGCCGCGUGCGGGAUGACGGCCUUCGGGUUGUAAACCGCUUUCGCCUGUGACGAAGCGUGAGUGACGGUAAUGGGUAAAGAAGCACCGGCUAACUACGUG